UGAGCAAUCUGCCCUUCACAUCGGAAUAACCAUUGGAAACGAUGGCUAAUACCGAAUAUGACUUCGGAUCGCAUGAUCUGAAGUGGAAAGCUCCGGCGGAGAAGGAUGAGCUCGCGGCCUAUCAGCUUGUUGGUGAGGUAAUAGCUCACCAAGGCGAUGACGGGUAGCCGGCCUGAGAGGGUGACCGGCCACACUGGGACUGAGACACCGGCAGA
RNAcentral lists this ribosomal RNA (215 nucleotides) under uncultured bacterium. RNAcentral describes it as "partial 16S ribosomal RNA". It matches the Rfam family "Bacterial small subunit ribosomal RNA", at positions 118 to 335 of the family's 1533-position model. The record is from RNAcentral.